GAGAAACAUUCUUUCAGAAGAUACAAUAGCCUAGACGAGAGGGCAAAAUGCUUCUCUUAGUUUCACUCGAUGCUCGUUGUGGUGUGACAUACUUCUAAUGACCUUUGGGGAGUCAAGUACCUCAUGACCAGAGGAAACAAUGGACCAGUAAUAGCUUGCCAUCUUGGUACAGCAAAUUAGAGCAUUGACGGAGGUUGUUCACAAUCUCCAACAGACUGUGGAGCAGCAGCAACAGC
RNAcentral lists this long non-coding RNA (236 nucleotides) under Elaeis guineensis (African oil palm). Its description in RNAcentral is "long non-coding RNA (EGUI_LNC077876)". Lineage: Eukaryota; Viridiplantae; Streptophyta; Magnoliopsida; Arecales; Arecaceae. The record is from RNAcentral.